RNAcentral lists this ribosomal RNA (253 nucleotides) under uncultured bacterium. RNAcentral describes it as "partial 16S ribosomal RNA". It matches the Rfam family "Bacterial small subunit ribosomal RNA", at positions 524 to 776 of the family's 1533-position model. The record is from RNAcentral.
UACAGAGGUCCCGAGCGUUGUUCGGAUUCAUUGGGCGUAAAGGGAGCGUAGGCGGAUAGUUUAGUCAGAGGUGAAAGCCCAGGGCUCAACCUUGGAAUUGCCUUUGAUACUGGCUAUCUUGAGUACGGAAGAGGUAUGUGGAACUCCGAGUGUAGAGGUGAAAUUCGUAGAUAUUCGGAAGAACACCAGUGGCGAAGGCGACAUACUGGUCCGUUACUGACGCUGAGGCUCGAAAGCGUGGGGAGCAAACAGG